GCGUCCUGCCAGGCAGCAGUGCUGCUACCGCCCGCGCCUCUUUCUCCUCCCGAGGCGUGCAAAUGCAAGCCUCUCUCCUCCCCACCCCCCUUCCCCCCUCAGACCCGUCGCCCAUCCCCAGCGCCUCCCUCUCGCCCAGGGACCCGAAGCAAAGUGUCUAGCCACUGCAUAACAAAUUGGCAGCUCAAAAUGGAUUGUCUGGAAAGGCCCUUAAGGAAAUAAAAGCAACACCUCAUCUGAGGGAGCAGCAGGAAAAUUCAGGAGCAGUGAAAGGCCUUUCCCUUGAGGGCCUAACAAUCCUUCUGGUUUCCAGUCAUGUGAAGCAGAGGGUAGCCUGGGAGAGGGAAUGUUCCAAGACUGCGAAGAUUUGGACUCUGGUCUGGACAAAAGUAAAGCAAAUGCCCUGGAAAAGAAGGCAUCUCUUUUAAAAGGAGCAUCUGUCAUUUAGCUCAUGACUUGGGUGAUGCUUUGGAUGAUGUCAUUGGAAUCUUGAUGCCACACAGUGAAACAACCUGUUUUGCAUUUAUCCAAGUUUCUGUAUGAACAAACAGCUACUUUUCAAGAAAAUACACAUGGGCUUGGCAACAGAGUUAUCUAUGUUUCUGUGGGUGAGGACAUCAUUGACCUUCUGCUUCCUUUGAGGCGCCACCUAGAAAUGUAGCAGCCCGACCAGAAGGCUGGCUAUGACGUUUUCAGGAAGAGAGUCUUUAGUUUCCCUCCUACCCACAAAGAAAGAUUGCCACUGCUUAAGAAUAUCAGCGUUCACCUUUCUUCCCUUCCCAUCUGUAGUCUUUUAGUGAAUCAGAGAAAAAGGAGAUAAGUCACCCACUGGGAAGACUCUUCAGUAGCUAUCACUCUCCCCUUUCAUACUGAUUGGCUCCUAGGGACAUCUGUGGUAGUGGUGGAAGGCAUUGACAAGGAUUUCAUUCUCAACCCAGCAGCAAAAAGAAAAAGGGAGAGGGUGUGUGGCUGUGACUAUGAUGAAAGGACUCAGCACUUCUGAAUUUGCCACUACAUGACUGGUUAGGAUUGUGCUGUUGGUAAAGCUUGACUAGCAAAUAUAUCCAUAUCAAAGCAGGGUUGGCAACCCCCUUGCCUGGAAUGCCCAUCCCCUGCCUUUUAAUGUGGCUUCUCCAAACUUCUUUAUAGACUUGACCUUUCACUGCAGAGAAAAGUUUGAGAAAUGAGUAAGAGUUAAGAAGAUUCUCUACCCUUUCCUGCCUACCCUGUGGGCUGCUAUAAUCUCACUUUGACAGCUAACCCAAUUCCAGUGAGCAAUAAUGGACAGAGACAAAACACACAUGGUUUGGUCUACCUUCACAGGCAGCAGUUUUGGAACAACAGCAGUUGGUGCCACACUUCCCAAUAUGUCAAUUCUCUUUUACCACUAUUGGGCAAGAAACAAACAGUCAUCCAACCAACAUGGUGCAUCACCAGUGGAGUUAAGGGAGUUGAGCUGAGCACAUGGAACCACUGUUGUUGCUUCUAUGGAUGCAAGGGAAUGAGGUGAGAGGUAAAUGAAAUGCAGAUAGAAAAAGAAAGAAAAGGCAAUGAUGAUUUCCUAAGUGCAAUACCAUACCAACUACAACAAGAUUCCUGUGAGUAAGGCAGAAAACUCAGCAUCCCACAACCAGUCAGGGUUCCUAACCAAAAACCAAAACUAAAAAAACCUGUCAGCCGGUCAACCAAAGUCACAGAAACCCCCAUGCAGCACACCCUGACCCGAGGGCUGCAGUCAGUGCAGAAUGCUGCAGCAUGAUUGCUGACAUGAGUGAAACUCUGUCAGAACAUAAUUCCUUUGCUUUGAAAUCUGCACUGGUUGCUGAUUUGCUUCCAGGCCAAGUUCAAGGUAUGCUUUUCUUGUUACUAGUACCACAUAGUAUUUGUUCUGCUCUUGUAAGAAAGUUGAUCCUUUAGUGUGGCAGCACCUACGCUUUGGAACUCCCUGCCUAUUGAUAUUAGGCAGGCAAUAUCAUUCAUUAUACUUUUUUUGGCACUUGCUGAAAACAUUUUUGUUUAGGCAGCCUCCCCAGGCAUGUAGAAGCUAUUAUGCUUUUUAUCUGUUUUUAACUCAUUGUUGGUUUUAUCAUUUUGAAAGUUUUUAAAUACCUGCCUUUAACUGUUUUUGCCAAUAAUUUUAUUGUUUUAAUUCCUUCUGUAAACUGCU
This is a long non-coding RNA of Rhineura floridana, 2167 nucleotides long. RefSeq lists it as uncharacterized. The record is from RefSeq and is a predicted model, not a curated record. NCBI's taxonomy places the organism in Eukaryota, Metazoa, Chordata, Lepidosauria, Squamata, Rhineuridae. The transcript is spliced from 6 exons.